GAGAGGGGGAGAGAGUGAGAGAGAAAGAAGGAGGGAGCGAGGCUGUGAGAUGGAGUGGGGCGGGGCUUUAAAAUCCAUCUGAGAUUUAAGUAGACAGUGAAGAUAAUUCUGGGGUUGCUAGAUUUUCAUUUUUUAAUCCUCCUGCUGCUGCCUGGGUCACAAGACUUCGGCAAAUUUAGAAUCCAUUCUCUUAUCACUAGUAUUAGCAGCGAAUGACUGGCUUGACGACCCUGAAUUAUCAUAUGCUAGCAAAAGCUUUAAAAAUAGAGGAGUACAAAGUCCCAAAUUCUCAUACAUUGUAAUUAUAGUGCAUUGCCACCACUGCUUCAUUUAUCCAUAUAAGGAGUGUAUGGUAUUUUCCAUUUUGAAUAGAAGGGCUAUAUUCACCUCUGUCAUACAGCCUGUUUUUUCAUUCAAGGAUGAAAAUAGUAAUCACUCAAAGCCAGGAAAUUUCCAUACAUGUAGUUAUUGAGUUAGCCUGUCCCUUAAACAUGUUUUAAAUAUAUGAGUAUCAUUACAGGACUGAGACCCUGAAAACAAAUAUUUUGAAAUAUUAAAGAAGCAUAUGACCAAAGAUAUAAUUAUUUUUAAGUGAUGAUUCAGUACCACUGCAAAGUUAUUAAUAUAUUCAGUAAGUUACUUAACUCAUAUACUGGAGAAGCAUCUUUCUCAAGACAUUUGUGAGAGGACAGUCAGAUGUACACAAAAGCUCUGCCUUUUGAUAACCUCCUGACAAUAACUACUGUAAAAUGGAGAUACUGCUCUGAACUAUUAAACAAAAGAUGUCAGCCAGAGAUUUAAAAGUUUUAUUUUAUUAAAGACUUCUUAAAAUGCUUAAUUGAUAUUUUUCAUUUCAAAGUUUCAUACACAAAAUAGAAGCUCGAGGAAAUGCUUUAUAGCCGCCUACCUUACUGUUCUUUCUACUUCUCACACACCUGCCUCUCCUCUUCCCCCAAGGAAAACAAAAUCCAAACCAAUAUAUUAUGCAUCACAAAUUGCUAGCUUCUACCAAUAAAACCUACUUAAGAUUGCUCUUAUGUUCCUGAGUUCCCUUGGUCUAAAACAAUGGCUUUGAUUGCAUUUGUUUGUAAAAUACAACACAAUGAGGUAAGCGAACCUUGGAUUCAGACAACACAAAGUUAGGUCACUGCUAAAGAAGAUGGCCAGAAAAAAAUACAUUUUCAUACUUGGUUUAAAUUAAAUGGUGCUGCAGUAAACCAUUAUAAUUCAGGGAUUUUAGUUGCCUUCAGUGAGCUAGGAUUGUCUUGACAAUAGCCAUAUCAUCAUGGCUGAAAUAUGCAUUUGAUUGUAAUUUUAGUAACACCCACCUUUUCUGGUAGCUUGUAUUCAAUGCUUCUUGUUAAUGCUUUCAGUUUAAACUACUUGCUUUUGGAAAAAUUAAUGCUGUACUAUGACAAGCCAAAAAGUAAGCUGGACUCGGAAUAUUUUAUAAUUGCUAUAAUUAAUAUUAAUACAGUCUUUUAAUUUUUAAAGUGUUAUGCCAGCAACAUUCAUUUCUCAACAUUUCUUAAAGAUACAAAUUUCAUUUUCGGCAUAAAUUCAAUCUGUCAAGGUCAAGACCCACCUUUACCAAAAAAGACUCUUUAAACAAAAGGUUGAUUAUGUGACCGCUCUGGCAAAAGCACUUUGACAACUGUAAGAAGAGUGGGCAUGCGCACAGAGGGAACUGUGGGGGCUGAAGUCCUUCACAGGGUACUCCGCCUGACUCCACGUUCAGCAGGGAAAGGAGGAAACCUCGUAAAUACAGAUUCCAAGGAAAGUCUAUGCCAGGUGUGGUGGCACACGCCUGUAAUCCCAGGAGGCUGAAGCAGGAAGAUCACGCAAAUUCAAGGCCAG
Molecule: long non-coding RNA, 1857 nt
Organism: Heterocephalus glaber (naked mole-rat)
Lineage: Eukaryota; Metazoa; Chordata; Mammalia; Rodentia; Bathyergidae
Source: RefSeq, a predicted model, not a curated record